RNAcentral lists this ribosomal RNA (428 nucleotides) under uncultured bacterium. Its description in RNAcentral is "bacterial SSU rRNA". It matches the Rfam family "Bacterial small subunit ribosomal RNA", at positions 355 to 775 of the family's 1533-position model. The record is from RNAcentral.
UGGGGAAUUUUGGACAAUGGGCGCAAGCCUGAUCCAGCCAUGCCGCGUGCGGGAAGAAGGCCUUCGGGUUGUAAACCGCUUUUAGCCGGGACGAAAAGGCCACGGAUAACACCUGUGGUUUUUGACGGUACCGGCGGAAUAAGCACCGGCUAACUACGUGCCAGCAGCCGCGGUAAUACGUAGGGUGCGAGCGUUAAUCGGAAUUACUGGGCGUAAAGCGUGCGCAGGCGGUUCGUCGUGUCUGUCGUGAAAGCCCCGGGCUUAACCUGGGAAUGGCGAUGGAAACUGGCGGGCUGGAGUGUGGCAGAGGGGGGUGGAAUUCCGCGUGUAGCAGUGAAAUGCGUAGAGAUGCGGAGGAACACCGAUGGCGAAGGCAGCCCCCUGGGUCAACACUGACGCUCAGGCACGAAAGCGUGGGGAGCAAACAG